GUGCUCGCUUCAACAGCACAUAUACUAAAAUUGGAAUGAUACAGAGCCCCUGCGCAAGGAUGACACGCAAAUUUGUGAAGUGUUCCAUAUUUCA
RNAcentral lists this small nuclear RNA (94 nucleotides) under Pseudonaja textilis. Lineage: Eukaryota; Metazoa; Chordata; Lepidosauria; Squamata; Elapidae. The record is from RNAcentral.